RNAcentral lists this small RNA (289 nucleotides) under Phycomyces blakesleeanus NRRL 1555(-). RNAcentral's name for it is "5' ureB small RNA". It matches the Rfam family "5' ureB small RNA". The record is from Rfam by way of RNAcentral. Lineage: Eukaryota; Fungi; Mucoromycota; Mucoromycetes; Mucorales; Phycomycetaceae.
CGUAACAGAUCUGGGGACAGAUAAAAUGAACGUGUGCAUCAAUGGCACCAGCUGUGAAGAUCUUUCCUUCACCUGCCAAUGCUUCUGUACCGGCACCAACGAUCAUACCUGGAGUGACACCGUCCAUGACAUCUGGGUUACCAGCCUUUCCGAUACCCGCGAUGAUACCGUUCUUGACACCAAUGUCGGCCUUGUAGAUCCCAUGCACAUCGAUAAUCAGACAAUUGGUGAUCACAAGAUCCAGUACAUCCGCAUCCGCCCGGUCGGUACUUUGACCCAUUCCCUCGCG